AACGGACGCUGGCGGCAGGCUUAACACAUGCAAGUCGAGCGCAUCCUUCGGGGUGAGCGGCAGACGGGUGAGUAACGCGUGGGAACGUACCCUUUCCUACGGAAUAGCUCCGGGAAACUGGAAUUAAUACCGUAUACGCCCUUAGGGGGAAAGAUUUAUCGGGGAAGGAUCGGCCCGCGUUGGAUUAGCUAGUUGGUGGGGUAAAGGCCUACCAAGGCGACGAUCCAUAGCUGGUCUGAGAGGAUGAUCAGCCACAUUGGGACUGAGACACGGCCCAAACUCCUACGGGAGGCAGCAGUGGGGAAUAUUGGACAAUGGGCGCAAGCCUGAUCCAGCCAUGCCGCGUGAGUGAUGAAGGCCUUAGGGUUGUAAAGCUCUUUCAGUAGGGAAGAUAAUGACGGUACCUACAGAAGAAGCCCCGGCUAACUUCGUGCCAGCAGCCGCGGUAA
This 449-nucleotide ribosomal RNA is filed under the name uncultured bacterium. RNAcentral's name for it is "partial 16S ribosomal RNA". It matches the Rfam family "Bacterial small subunit ribosomal RNA", at positions 29 to 523 of the family's 1533-position model. The record is from RNAcentral.